RNAcentral lists this ribosomal RNA (253 nucleotides) under uncultured bacterium. Its description in RNAcentral is "partial 16S ribosomal RNA". It matches the Rfam family "Bacterial small subunit ribosomal RNA", at positions 524 to 776 of the family's 1533-position model. The record is from RNAcentral.
GACGGAGGGUGCAAACGUUGUUCGGAAUCACUGGGCAUAAAGAGCACGUAGGCUGCGCGCUAAGUCAGGUGUGAAAUCCCCCGGCUCAACCGGGGAACUGCACCUGAUACUGGCGUGCUCGAGGACGGUAGGGGUGAGUGGAACUCCAGGUGGAGCGGUGAAAUGCGCAGAUAUCAGGAGGAACACCGGUGGCGAAGGCGGUUCUCUGGGCCUGUACUGACGCUGAGGUGCGAAAGCGUGGGGAGCAAACAGG